Molecule: transfer RNA, 66 nt
Filed under: Liolaemus multimaculatus
Lineage: Eukaryota; Metazoa; Chordata; Lepidosauria; Squamata
Description: tRNA-Cys
Source: RNAcentral
AAGUCCCGGAGCCCUUCGGGGCUCUUCUUCAAACUUGCAUUUUGAUGUGAUAACACCUCGAGACUU